RNAcentral lists this ribosomal RNA (419 nucleotides) under bacterium Ellin6052. Its description in RNAcentral is "bacterial SSU rRNA". It matches the Rfam family "Bacterial small subunit ribosomal RNA", at positions 28 to 454 of the family's 1533-position model. The record is from RNAcentral. Lineage: Bacteria; Bacillati; Actinomycetota; Actinomycetes; Micromonosporales; Micromonosporaceae.
GACGAACGCUGGCGGCGUGCUUGCACAUGCAAGUCGAGCGGAAAGGCCCAUCGGGGUACUCGAGCGGCGAACGGGUAGUAACACGUGAGUAACCUGCCCCCUACUUUGGGAUAACCCUCGGAAACGGGGGCUAAUACCGGAUACGACCUCCUGGGGCAUCUUGGGGGGUGGAAAGUUUUUCGGUGGGGGAUGGGCUCGCGGCCUAUCAGCUUGUUGGUGGGGUAAUGGCCUACCAAGGCGACGACGGGUAGCCGGCCUGAGAGGGCGACCGGCCACACUGGGACUGAGACACGGCCCAGACUCCUACGGGAGGCAGCAGUGGGGAAUAUUGCACAAUGGGCGGAAGCCUGAUGCAGCGACGCCGCGUGAGGGAUGAAGGCCUUCGGGUUGUAAACCUCUUUCAGCAGGGACGAAGCGCG